RNAcentral lists this ribosomal RNA (495 nucleotides) under uncultured bacterium. RNAcentral's name for it is "partial 16S ribosomal RNA". It matches the Rfam family "Bacterial small subunit ribosomal RNA", at positions 28 to 507 of the family's 1533-position model. The record is from RNAcentral.
GAUGAACGCUGGCGGCGUGCCUAAUACAUGCCAGUAGAACGCUGAAGGAGGAGCUUGCUCUUCUGGAUGAGUUGCGAACGGGUGAGUAACGCGUAGGUAACCUGCCUGGUAGCGGGGGAUAACUAUUGGAAACGAUAGCUAAUACCGCAUGACAACAGUUAUUGCAUGAUAACUGUUUAAAAGGGGCAACUGCUCCACUACCAGAUGGACCUGCGUUGUAUUAGCUAGUUGAUGAGGUAACGGCUCACCAAGGCGACGAUACAUAGCCGACCUGAGAGGGUGAUCGGCCACACUGGGACUGAGACACGGCCCAGACUCCUACGGGAGGCAGCAGUAGGGAAUCUUCGGCAAUGGACGGAAGUCUGACCGAGCAACGCCGCGUGAGUGAAGAAGGUUUUCGGAUCGUAAAGCUCUGUUGUAAGAGAAGAACGAGUGUGAGAGUGGAAAGUUCACACUGUGACGGUAUCUUACCAGAAAGGGACGGCUAACUACGUG